GGGAAACUCGGCUCGUGAUUGGUGCAAUUGAUGACAGCUGACAGUCAAGAGGAGGAAAUUCGGGUCCGUUUUCGGUUCGCCAGGUCCUUUCCCUGGGAGGCGUCGACCGGUGCCCUUGAAAUGCGGGGGGAAGUCCCGGAAAAUCGCUCGGGAAAACCGAAAAAGUGAGGAUUAAUUAUGAAAGGUGUGUAAAAAGUGUUCUCUAGAGCGUGAGCUUCAUUUUGAUGUAAUUUUCGUGGGUGUGCCCCUAUUUUUUCUAUGGAAAAAGUGCGAGUGUGGCCUUUUCUGGGAGCUAUCGACGGUCCAGAGGAGGACACAGACAGAAAAAGACGAGAACACAGUUAGAGACAUAACCUCACAUAUGGCCCCUCUGGGUAGUUAUCGAGUCCAGAGGAGGUCGAACAGAACAGGGACAGAAGAGGACUCAAGGAAAUGCCUCCCGGAGGUAAAAAGAGUACAAACAUAACCUCACAUAAGGCCCCUCUGGGAGCAAUCGAGUCCAGAGGAGGUCGAGCAGAACAGGGACAGAAGAUAUCAUAUAAGAAAAGGACAAAAGAAGACAGUUAAGAGGAGAUGGAACCCCAAUUGUCAUGUGGUCCAUCUCGAGUAGUCCCUGGAAACAGUCGAGCAGCAGUGAAACAAAAGAGGAUCCGAGAGGGAAAUGCUUCUGGAGGUCAGAGGUAAGUGACAUUCAACUUUUUUUCUCACUCUCACUCUCUCAUUUGUUAUUUGCUAUGGUGCUAAUCAACUUGACAUUUUCCAACGUUGCUUACAAGGAAAAAGGUUUUUAUUUAUUAAAAAAAUGCGGUGUUGCCAUUUUGAGUAUUUUUGCAUGGGUUUUUUGGAAAUUUAGCCAUAUUGAAAUAAUUAAUAAGGUGUUGUUGCAUGGUUUAAUUAGUGUACAUAUUUUUUGGGGGGGAGGGGGGAGUUUUGCAAGAAAGUUUGGCAACGUUUAAAUACUUAUAUCGCGUGAUUUAUUGCGACCUUGCAUGAUUGAUUAACUUUAAUUAUUGUUAUUAUAUUAUGUGCUAUGGUGUUUAUUAUUGUGUAGUGCUUUCGUGCUUUCAUAACCUCAAAUUAUUAACAUUCGUGUCUAUUUGUGUGCCUUAACCUGUAUGUACCUCCUCUACAACACGAUCCUUGUAUAUAUAGUUCCAUCUCACUCAUCAUCAUAUUAUGCACAGAGGAAAAAUUCACCAUAAGUUAGUGGAUGCUUAAUGCUAUUAACAUAUUCCCUCCUUUUCCAUGCUAUGCCUAUAAUGGAUGAGUGUGUCUUUGUCUUGCGUAUUAGGCAGCAACUUCCCCUAUUAGGGGACAUAAUAUGAACCAAAAAACAACUACAGAGACUGACUAUAUAUAUGCUUGAAGUAGCACUAGAGAAUUUGAUUUAAUGCAGUAUGAAGAUCUUGUACCAGAGUCCUGGACCGGAAACUUUCAUUUGUUUUGUUUUUUUCAAACAAAAGAACAGGGGAAACAGUUGAAGCUUGCAGAUGACCGGACCUUUGGAGUGUUUCUUCAUAUUUUUCUUUUGUUUUUUCCUCAAUUGUUUUAUGUAUUUUAUUGUGCAUUUUUAUUUAAAAUUGUAAUAAAGUGUGCCCUAAA
Anthonomus grandis grandis is the source of this 1602-nucleotide long non-coding RNA. RefSeq lists it as uncharacterized. The transcript has 5 exons. The record is from RefSeq and is a predicted model, not a curated record. Lineage: Eukaryota; Metazoa; Arthropoda; Insecta; Coleoptera; Curculionidae.